Long non-coding RNA from Mus musculus (house mouse), 4393 nucleotides. RefSeq annotates it as predicted gene, 41033. NCBI's taxonomy places the organism in Eukaryota, Metazoa, Chordata, Mammalia, Rodentia, Muridae. The transcript has 6 exons. The record is from RefSeq and is a predicted model, not a curated record.
UUUAUACUGCAUUUCAAUCUCCAAUGGGCUGUGUGCAUUUUAAUAAAUGCUGGCGAUUAGGGCAAUGAAAAGAGAUAUUCAGAAAACACGAUUUUCUUUCUAUUCUUGGUAGCCAAUCAUGCUACCCUAACUGGUUAUGUUGUUGUUUCCUUAAACCCAUGGGUGAGACUAAAGAGGGGGAAAGAAGUAGACAAGUGGGCAAUUGCCUGGAUAUCUUUGUCAGUGAUGGUAGCAGUUGCUAUGAACUGGGAUCUGGUAUCCACAGGUAGCCAGUGGCAGGCUCGGGGGGAUCACCCCAGUCACUUCUCCACCCAGUCCCAGGCUGCAUUGGAAAAAUUCGAAACCUAGAGUUUCUUGAAAGCCAUAAAGCCACGUCCCCUCCGCCGACCAGGAGGCCCUAGGGUGCGUCCACGACAGAAUGGGGUGGGGGCCUGGCGUCAGCUGGCUGAUCUGUCUGGGACACAGCUGCAGGGACCGGAGCCCUUCUCGGACUCGGCUCCUUUCAGAAAACAUUUUCCCCCUCGGAUGUGGUUUUCCGUUAAUUAAUCACUCAUGGGCCUGCGUCCGUGGAGCCGUUUUCCCACUCAUCCUUCGGCUUCGCUACAAUCCGCGUUUGGAAAGGGCCAAUUGGCUCAUUUCUUAGGGGUGGCUGGGCUGAGGAUUCUAACAUGGAUCUGCUCUGUGGCUACUGCCCGCAUGUUGCCAAACGACCUUGUAGAAGGUCUGCUUCCCUCUCCAGAUCUUCUAGCCUGUAGGCCAUGCUAGUCUUGAGCCUUCUCGGGUCUAGGCUGCGGCCUGGGUGGUCCAGGUGCUCAGGGUGGUCUUUGCACCGCAUCAUUCGUUCCUUUAGGAUCCUUCGGCAUCCCGCUGACACCAGCCCCGUUUCGCUCCUCCCCUGUCUUCCUUCGAGGGCCUCUCCGGGCCUGUCUUGGCCUCGGGCACUAGAACAUUCUGAACUAGGCCAGACAAACUAGCCAGGCUGCUGACUGUGGGGUACCCUGAGGCUGUCUUCCCCUGGCCUUAGCUGUGCAGUAUCCUCUUGGCAAAGCCUGAUCCAGGCCCCAGCAUCCUGCGGGCGGGGCAGGAGAGUCCCCACGUAGUGGGAGAACGCUAACUCUGUUCCCUAUUUGUGUUUUAAUGCUCUCGCCGCUUCCGAGCCACGAACAGAAGCCUCCUACGCGGGCCUCAGCUUUAAGAACGCAUCCAGAUGUGGCUGGGACCACCCUGUGCCUCGGGUGUCUCCAAAUGUGGCGCAGGCCACCCCACGCCGAGCGAGGCAACAGGCCCCAAAACAGGCAAGUGGGGUUACACCAAACUGAAGUGCCUCUGCACAGCAAAGGACAUCAGUGACAGUGAAGAGAGAGCCCACCAAACCAGGGGACAACGCAAUGUUCUAAAAUGGAUUGUGGUCAUGGGUGCACAAUUCAGGGAGGAUACUAAAAAGCAGUUGAAUGGAGUGCUCCGUGGAUGAACUGCACGGCAUUGUGUCAGGUCAGCUUGAGGAAUGAAUAUAUGUUUCGGGGAAGAAGGUCCCAUUACUGAACUGGCUUUGUCAUAAAAGCCUCUCAUGGCUACAGGUGCCAAUGUGACUCAUGACUGCAGAGCAGGAAGAGCUUCAACUGGGAGACAGCUGCUGACAAGGUUUCCACUAGAAGGUUUUUUGUGGAGGAGAAACCCAACCCACUCACUUCAUGAGUAUACAUGGACCUGGAAGACCAGAGGAGUGACACACAAGCCAAGGUAUGAGCUUGUAAAGAGUGUGAUAGCAUGCCAGUGGAAGAUAACGUGAAAACAGAAGUGUGUAUCCAUGGAAAAUGAGGCUCUUAAGCCUUUUAACUUGCUUCUCUCUGGUGUCUGUCCUAACAGUGAACAACUAACAAAUACUUCCGUUGGCUUUGUUAUAUUGACUAUGACAGGGGUAAAGCCUACUUCAUCAUCGCCUGCAGGACUUUAUCAAAUGUUGUUGGGUUCGGGUUGUUGUUUCUUUUCCACAGCAAUGCUGAGGAUCAAGCCUGGUUCCUUGUUCAUGUGUGUAAACAAUCUGGGCUGGGGAUCCAUCCACAGCACUGGGUUGCUAAUACAUACAUACAUACAUACAUACAUACAUACAUACAUACAUAUGUACAUUCAUACAUACAUACACACAUAUGCACAUAUGUACGUACAUACAUACACGUCCAAUCAAUUUUCUAACUAUCCCUGGCGUCUUUUGAGUCUGGUCUGAUUUCCACAUACUUGGUUGUGAGACUUACCACUGUUCUCUUGGAUCAUCACAAAAGCUUCCAACCUAUUGGAGCAGCAGUAGCUGUCUGAGAACCACAGCACCAUGAGCUUUUCUGAACUUUUACCCGACUUGAAAACCAACACAUUAACCUGAAUUCCAGGAGCUUCACAGAUGUGGACACAAUCCACGGCGUCCUGGAUUUCUAACCCCCAGAAUAUCAAGCCAGGAGGCGUUCACAUUCUCUGUUUUCCAAGUAUCCCUGAGGCAUUCUCAAGUGACCCAGGUAGGUGCUACACAUUUGCUGGUGCUCUGCCUCUGCAGAGAAACCCAGGCCUAAGGAACCCAAAUCUUUCCAGGGGUUUAAGCAGGGUAGCUUUCCCCCUUGUUCUGGAGACCUCUACCCUCUAAAGAUGUUUGCUAUGCAAAUGUUGUCACAAAAAUAAACGAGAACCAAAGGGCAGUUACCAUCUCGCUUCUCCCAAUAACCCAUUAAAUCCAAAUCAGGUCAACCAGCAGCCCUCAUACCAGAAGAAGGAAGACAGCCUUCUCCUUCCCCAGCCUUGAUGCUCACUCCCCCCCCCUCACAACAUGGAAGUGAAGCAACCUGGAACACCCCCAGCAGCCUGUGUUCAUCCUGCCCUCAGGUCUUGGCUUGGGUUAUCUUCUUUGCCUGAAUCCUUUGCCAGAUAUAGCAGCUUUGUCUUAGACUUUCCAGUCUCCAGAACUGCGAGCCAAAACAAACCCAUCUUCUUUAUAAAUUACCCAGUCUCCAGCAUUCUCUUAUAGAACCAGAAGGCUAGACCAAGACACUAUCGAAUUCCACUCCUCUUUCCAAACAGACCCAGAGAACGGGUACAGGACAGCAUAGCUUUGCAUGAUACAGCCUUCCGAAAUGCUGUGAACAACUACUAAUUCGUUCCAGAAACACUCUGGUUAUUUGAUCGUUUGUGUGAUUCAUCAGCUUUGAAAGAGCCUCGGGAGUCGCUGCCUGCUCCUCUUACACAGGCCCUGCUUUUCGGUUUUGCUUUCUGUGAAACGGAGUUAAUGGCAUUAGCCACUGAUCUGGCUUAAGAAGAGAAAAUGAGGAGAAAUAGCAGGAGGCUUACCAAGCACUGGCGAGAACACAUUGGAAAAUCUGAGGCAGACCCGGAGGAGGUGAGUGGUCCCACUUGGCAUCUCCUUUAUUGGUUGUGUCAUGUUUUGCACUCUGUGCCUCGUGGCAAUGGCCCAACCUAUAGAUUGACAUUUUGGUCUCAUACUCAUGGAGCGUAACUCUGGCCUGUCUUCUACCACUCAGGGAUCUCCCUAUGCUACCCAAGUGCCCAUUGCACUGCCUGGGCAUUCUGAGUGCCCACUGCCUACUUGUUGGAUUGAGGAUUUGAGGAGAGAGUCCUCUCAGGUUUGUGACUGGGUCAGAACUGUGGGCAGCCUCUCUCAUGGAAACAGUGGGGUAGGUGUGGGAGCCUUCUGUCAGAUACCUGAGAGUAGUCUGCUCUUACAAAGAAAGGUUGUUUGCAUUCAAUUCUGGAGUUUCCCUUCCUGUGUGGUCAGUUGACCUCACUGCUUUAGCCUGAGGUGAAGUCUCAUAGGGCAGAGCAAAGCCAUUUGCCUCAGAACCAGUUGGUGCCACAGACACAUCCCCAAUGACCUCGCCUACCCCUCUAGGUGUCACCUUUAAAAGGCCACCACCUCCCAGCAGCAACUCACUGGACACCAAACCUUUAUCACAUGGAUUUUAGGGGCGGGGCAUUCAGUGCCAAGCGAUAGCAACUGGAAGUAGAGAGAAACAUCUGGACCGAGAAACUCGGUCUGGCUCCUGCUGACUCUCGUUUCCCCAAUUGAGCUAUAAACCUUUUCUUUGAAAGAGUUUUACCCCUUGUUCACAGAACCUCUAGCACGCUAGCUCACGGUGCACAGCAAACCUGGAAGUUGACGUGGAAGUAAAAUUCCAGGCGCGAUGAAGUGAAAAGCGAGUCACUCACCAACAGUUGUCACAGACCUCAGAUGGACUGUGCGACCCGUGGGAACUCCACAGUGAGCUAGCCAACAGUCACCCCUUCUCUCCCACCCAUCUGGGCUUACAGGCAUGUCCUGACAGUGAUGUAUGGUCACUGGAGGGGCACAGUGGGGGACAAGGCAUGGUUAAGCAAUAAAAGUCCAUUUUCCACA